ACGGAAGGCAGCAGUGGGGAAUAUUGGGCGAUGGGCGCAAGCCUGACCCAGCAACGCCGCGUGAAGGAAGAAGGCUUUCGGGUUGUAAACUUCUUUUACCAGGGACGAAGGACGUGACGGUACCUGGAGAAAAAGCCACGGCUAACUACGUGCCAGCAGCCGCGGUAAUACGUAGGUGGCAAGCGUUGUCCGGAUUACUGGGUGUAAAGGGAGCGCAGGCGGGAAAGCAAGUCAGUGGUGAAAUGUAGGAGCUUAACUCCUAAACUGCCGUUGAAACUGUUUUUCUUGAGUGGAGUAGAGGCAAGCGGAAUUCCGAGUGUAGCGGUGAAAUGCGUAGAUAUUCGGAGGAACACCAGUGGCGAAGGCGGCUUGCUGGGCUCUAACUGACGCUGAGGCUCGAAAGUGUGGGGAGCAAACAGGAUUAGAUACCCUGGUA
RNAcentral lists this ribosomal RNA (436 nucleotides) under uncultured Oscillospiraceae bacterium. RNAcentral describes it as "bacterial SSU rRNA". It matches the Rfam family "Bacterial small subunit ribosomal RNA", at positions 341 to 792 of the family's 1533-position model. The record is from RNAcentral. Lineage: Bacteria; Bacillati; Bacillota; Clostridia; Eubacteriales; Oscillospiraceae.